UGCGUAGGUGGCGGGGUAAGUUGGAUGUGAAAUCUCGGAGCUCAACUCCGAAACUGCAUUCAAUACUGCCUUGCUAGAGUACUGGAGAGGAGAUUGGAAUUUACGGUGUAGCAGUGAAAUGCGUAGAUAUCGUAAGGAAGACCAGUGGCGAAGGCGGAUCUCUGGACAGUUACUGACACUGAGGACGAAGGCCAGGGGAGCGAAAC
This 206-nucleotide ribosomal RNA is filed under the name uncultured bacterium. Its description in RNAcentral is "partial 16S ribosomal RNA". It matches the Rfam family "Bacterial small subunit ribosomal RNA", at positions 568 to 774 of the family's 1533-position model. The record is from RNAcentral.